This 771-nucleotide ribosomal RNA is filed under the name uncultured bacterium. RNAcentral's name for it is "bacterial SSU rRNA". It matches the Rfam family "Bacterial small subunit ribosomal RNA", at positions 8 to 796 of the family's 1533-position model. The record is from RNAcentral.
AGAGUUUGAUCCUGGCUCAGGACGAACGCUGGCGGCGUGCUUAACACAUGCAAGUCGAACGGAAAGGCCCUUCGGGGUACUCGAGUGGCGAACGGGUGAGUAACACGUGGGUGAUCUGCCCUGCACUUUGGGAUAAGCCUGGGAAACUGGGUCUAAUACCGAAUAUGACCAUGCACUUCCUGGUGUGUGGUGGAAAGCUUUUGCGGUGUGGGAUGGGCCCGCGGCCUAUCAGCUUGUUGGUGGGGUAAUGGCCUACCAAGGCGACGACGGGUAGCCGGCCUGAGAGGGUGACCGGCCACACUGGGACUGAGAUACGGCCCAGACUCCUACGGGAGGCAGCAGUGGGGAAUAUUGCACAAUGGGCGCAAGCCUGAUGCAGCGACGCCGCGUGAGGGAUGACGGCCUUCGGGUUGUAAACCUCUUUCAGCACAGACGAAGCGCAAGUGACGGUAUGUGCAGAAGAAGGACCGGCCAACUACGUGCCAGCAGCCGCGGUAAUACGUAGGGUCCGAGCGUUGUCCGGAAUUACUGGGCGUAAAGAGCUCGUAGGUGGUUUGUCGCGUUGUUCGUGAAAACUCACAGCUUAACUGUGGGCGUGCGGGCGAUACGGGCAGACUUGAGUACUGCAGGGGAGACUGGAAUUCCUGGUGUAGCGGUGGAAUGCGCAGAUAUCAGGAGGAACACCGGUGACGAAGGCGGGUCUCUGGGCAGUAACUGACGCUGAGGAGCGAAAGCGUGGGGAGCGAACAGGAUUAGAUACCCUGGUAGUCC